This is a long non-coding RNA of Leptopilina boulardi, 214 nucleotides long. RefSeq lists it as uncharacterized. The transcript has 3 exons. The record is from RefSeq and is a predicted model, not a curated record. Lineage: Eukaryota; Metazoa; Arthropoda; Insecta; Hymenoptera; Figitidae.
UUAGUAGUUUCUUACAACCUUUUAUUUACUUACAGUUUAAAAACGGAAGGAAGUAAAGAAAAGUUGAAAAUUAGUAGUUUCUUACAACCUUUUAUUUACUUACAGUUUAAAAACGGAAGGAAGUAAAGAAAAGUUGAAAAUUAGUAGUUUCUUACAACCUUUUAUUUACUUACAGUUUAAAAACGGAAGGAAGUAAAGAAAAGUUGAAAAUUAG